RNAcentral lists this ribosomal RNA (406 nucleotides) under uncultured bacterium. Its description in RNAcentral is "partial 16S ribosomal RNA". It matches the Rfam family "Bacterial small subunit ribosomal RNA", at positions 30 to 526 of the family's 1533-position model. The record is from RNAcentral.
AUUGAACGCUGGCGGCAGGCGUAACACAUGCAAGUCGAACGAGUGGCGGACAGGUGAGUAAUGCUUGGAAAUCUACCUUAUGUGGGGGGAUAACUACGGGAAACGGUAGCUAAUACCGCAUACCAUCGGAUGUGCCCAGAUGGGAUUAGCUAGUAGGUGGGGCAAAGGUUCACCUAGGCGACGAUCCCUAGCUGGUCUGAGAGGAUGACCAGCCACACUGGAACUGAGACACGGUCCAGACUCCUACGGGAGGCAGCAGUGGGGAAUAGUGCACAAUGGGCACAAGCCUGAUUCAGCCAGGCCGCGUGUAUGAAGAAGGCCUUCGGGUUGUAAAGUACUUUCAGUCGGGAGGCGUUACCGACAGAAGAAGCACCGGCUAACUCCGUGCCAGCAGCCGCGGUAAUAC